UCGAGGAUCUUCGGCAAUGGGCGCAAGCCUGACCGAGCGACGCCGCGUGUGCGAUGAAGGCCUUCGGGUUGUAAAGCACUGUCGUGGGGGAGAAAACCCGCAAGGGUUGAUCGACCCCAGGAGGAAGCACGGGCUAAGUUCGUGCCAGCAGCCGCGGUAAGACGAACCGUGCGAACGUUGUUCGGAAUCACUGGGCUUAAAGGGCGCGUAGGCGGGCUCGCAAGUCCGGGGUGAAAGCCCCCAGCUCAACUGGGGAAGCGCCUUGGAUACUGCGGGCCUCGAGGGGGGUAGGGGCGUGCGGAACUUCCGGUGGAGCGGUGAAAUGCGUAGAUAUCGGAAGGAACACCGGUGGCGAAAGCGGCGCGCUGGACCCCUUCUGACGCUGAGGCGCGAAAGCCAGGGGAGCAAACGG
This 412-nucleotide ribosomal RNA is filed under the name uncultured bacterium. Its description in RNAcentral is "bacterial SSU rRNA". It matches the Rfam family "Bacterial small subunit ribosomal RNA", at positions 355 to 775 of the family's 1533-position model. The record is from RNAcentral.